GCAUCGGCUAUAUAAACACGAGUCAAUAGGAAUCGGCCAUAACAACCUGACACGCUAUAUCGUCGGUUACGUGUCUACCCAUAUGCUAGGAUAGUAUCUUUUCAAAUAUCUUCCAUUCAAAGCUGAUGUAAAUUUUUCCCCUUCAAUGGUCUCUAGUAUGUAUGCAUUUCCCAGUGCACAUCAACCGAUUUUAUAUGGCCCUUCCCACGUAGGCGACGACUUGCCGUAUUUGGGAUCCUUAGACCCUAUCGGCAGGACCAAUUUCCA
RNAcentral lists this long non-coding RNA (267 nucleotides) under Setaria viridis. RNAcentral's name for it is "long non-coding RNA (SVIR_LNC002056)". Lineage: Eukaryota; Viridiplantae; Streptophyta; Magnoliopsida; Poales; Poaceae. The record is from RNAcentral.